This 157-nucleotide ribosomal RNA is filed under the name Kuraishia piskuri. RNAcentral describes it as "5.8S ribosomal RNA". It matches the Rfam family "5.8S ribosomal RNA". Rfam says of the family: 5.8S ribosomal RNA (5.8S rRNA) is a component of the large subunit of the eukaryotic ribosome. It is transcribed by RNA polymerase I as part of the 45S precursor that also contains 18S and 28S rRNA. Lineage: Eukaryota; Fungi; Ascomycota; Pichiomycetes; Pichiales; Pichiaceae. The record is from RNAcentral.
AAACUUUCAACAACGGAUCUCUUGGUUCUCGCAUCGAUGAAGAACGCAGCGAAAUGCGAUAAGUAUUGUGAAUUGCAGAUUUUCGUGAAUCAUCGAAUCUUUGAACGCACAUUGCGCCCUGUGGUAUUCCACAGGGCAUGCCUGUUUGAGCGUCAUU